GGGGAGAGGUAGUGGCUCAGUGGUAGCGCAUCUGCUUUGCAUGUAAAAGGUCCUAGGUUAAAUCUCUGGCACCCCG
This 76-nucleotide transfer RNA is filed under the name Sphaerodactylus townsendi. Its description in RNAcentral is "tRNA-Ala". The record is from RNAcentral. Lineage: Eukaryota; Metazoa; Chordata; Lepidosauria; Squamata; Sphaerodactylidae.